CAAGUAGGAGUCAGGUUUUAAACCUAAUGGCUCUUUCAUGAUUAUAUGAUAGGUGGUGCAUGGCCGUUCUUAGUUCGUGGAGUGAUCUGUCUGCUUAAUUGCGUUUCAAAAUUUAACUUGAGGACCGGGUUUUGGUUUGGCUAGUGGUUCUACGAUGACUGUGAACUGUCAUGUCUUCGGAUGUGCGACUAUUGGUCUAGGAUCACAUGACUUGCCCCUGGGCUCUUUUGAACGCAACGGACGUGAUUGCAACCCCUUGUUGAGAUUAGAGAUAGCUCGAUAUUCA
Molecule: ribosomal RNA, 286 nt
Filed under: Globigerinoides ruber albus
Lineage: Eukaryota; Foraminifera; Rotaliida; Globigerinidae
Description: partial small subunit ribosomal RNA
Source: RNAcentral